RNAcentral lists this ribosomal RNA (504 nucleotides) under Orthops scutellatus. RNAcentral describes it as "partial large subunit ribosomal RNA". It matches the Rfam family "Eukaryotic large subunit ribosomal RNA", at positions 755 to 1243 of the family's 3401-position model. The record is from RNAcentral. Lineage: Eukaryota; Metazoa; Arthropoda; Insecta; Hemiptera; Miridae.
GCACUCCCGGGGCGUCUCUAUCUCAUUGCGAGAGGAGGCGCACCCAGAGCGUACACGCUGAUACCCGAAAGAUGGUGAACUAUGCCUGGCCAGGACGAAGCCAGGGGAAACCCUGGUGGAGGUCCGCAGCGAUUCUGACGUGCAAAUCGAUCGUCGGAGCUGGGUUUAGGGGCGAAAGACCAAUCGAACCAUCUAGUAGCUGGUUCCCUCUGAAGUUUCCCUCAGGAUAGCUUGCGCUCGGAAACAACGAGUCUCAUCCGGUAGAGCGAAUGAUUAGAGGCCUUGGGGUCGAAACGACCUCAACCUAUUCUCAAACUCCAAAUAGAUGAGAACCCCGGCUUUCUUGAACUCUGUUUAUGAAGCCGGGGGCUCGGAUCAGAGUGCCAAGUGGGCCAAUUUUGGUAAGCAGAACUGGCGCUGUGGGAUGAACCAAACGCGGAGUUAAGGCGCCUCAAUCGACGCUCAUGUGAAACCAUGAAAGGCGUUGGUUGCUUAAGACAGCAG